RNAcentral lists this ribosomal RNA (468 nucleotides) under uncultured bacterium. Its description in RNAcentral is "partial 16S ribosomal RNA". It matches the Rfam family "Bacterial small subunit ribosomal RNA", at positions 28 to 507 of the family's 1533-position model. The record is from RNAcentral.
GACGAACGCUGGCGGCGUGCUUAACACAUGCAAGUCGAACGGAAAGGCCCUGCUUUUGUGGGGUGCUCGAGUGGCGAACGGGUGAGUAACACGUGAGUAACCUGCCCUUGACUUUGGGAUAACUUCAGGAAACUGGGGCUAAUACCGGAUAGGAGCUCCUGCUGCAUGGUGGGGGUUGGAAAGUUUCGGCGGUUGGGGAUGGACUCGCGGCUUAUCAGCUUGUUGGUGGGGUAGUGGCUUACCAAGGCUUUGACGGGUAGCCGGCCUGAGAGGGUGACCGGCCACAUUGGGACUUAGAUACGGCCCAGACUCCUACGGGAGGCAGCAGUGGGGAAUAUUGCACAAUGGGCCGAAGCCUGAUGCAGCAACGCCGCGUGCGGGAUGACGGCCUUCGGGUUGUAAACCGCUUUCGCCUGUGACGAAGCGUUAGUGACGGUAAUGGGUAAAGAAGCACCGGCUAACUACGUG